This 225-nucleotide non-coding RNA is filed under the name Nitritalea halalkaliphila. RNAcentral also lists the same sequence under 1 other name. The record is from RNAcentral. Lineage: Bacteria; Pseudomonadati; Bacteroidota; Cytophagia; Cytophagales; Cyclobacteriaceae.
AUGUUUGUGGCGGUUUUAGGUUUUAGUAGCUCCACUCAUGAGCGGCUAAAUUAAAAGGGAAUCCGGUGUAAAUCCGGAGCUGUCCCCGCAACUGUAACCCGAGUGCGCUGUGUUUUCGGACCGCGCAUUAGUGAUGUUCCACCCACCGAGGGCCAUUGUGCAUGCGCAUGAGAAGGCCGGAGCAUCCAGGGAAGUCAGGAGACCUGCCUCUAGCCGACAGUAGUU